CGGGAUCCAUCAAGCUUGCUUGGUGGUGAGAGUGGCGAACGGGUGAGUAAUGCGUGACCGACCUGCCCCAUGCUCCGGAAUAGCUCCUGGAAACGGGUGGUAAUGCCGGAUGUUCCACAUGAUCGCAUGUGAUUGUGGGAAAGAUUCUAUCGGCGUGGGAUGGGGUCGCGUCCUAUCAGCUUGUUGGUGAGGUAACGGCUCACCAAGGCUUCGACGGGUAGCCGGCCUGAGAGGGCGACCGGCCACAUUGGGACUGAGAUACGGCCCAGACUCCUACGGGAGGCAGCAGUGGGGAAUAUUGCACAAUGGGCGCAAGCCUGAUGCAGCGACGCCGCGUGAGGGAUGGAGGCCUUCGGGUUGUAAACCUCUUUUGUUUGGGAGCAAGCCUUCGGGUGAGUGUACCUUUCGAAUAAGCGCCGGCUAACUACGUGCCAGCAGCCGCGGUAAUACGUAGGGCGCAAGCGUUAUCCGGAUUUAUUGGGCGUAAAGGGCUCGUAGGCGGCUCGUCGCGUCCGGUGUGAAAGUCCAUCGCUUAACGGUGGAUCUGCGCCGGGUACGGGCGGGCUGGAGUGCGGUAGGGGAGACUGGAAUUCCCGGUGUAACGGUGGAAUGUGUAGAUAUCGGGAAGAACACCGAUGGCGAAGGCAGGUCUCUGGGCCGUCACUGACGCUGAGGAGCGAAAGCGUGGGGAGCGAACAGGAUUAGAUACCCUGGUAGUCCACGCCCGUAACGGUGGACGCUGGAUGUGGGGCACG
Molecule: ribosomal RNA, 755 nt
Filed under: Bifidobacterium sp. HGH0131
Lineage: Bacteria; Bacillati; Actinomycetota; Actinomycetes; Bifidobacteriales; Bifidobacteriaceae
Description: bacterial SSU rRNA
Rfam family: Bacterial small subunit ribosomal RNA
Source: RNAcentral